ACUUUGCAGCCCGACUUGAGUGGAAAUCCUUUUAUUUUUUUGUUUAAAAAAAAUAAAAGAUUGGGAACGAAAGGCGGAAGUUGCU
Molecule: small RNA, 85 nt
Filed under: Halpernia frigidisoli
Lineage: Bacteria; Pseudomonadati; Bacteroidota; Flavobacteriia; Flavobacteriales; Weeksellaceae
Description: Flavo-1 RNA
Rfam family: Flavo-1 RNA
Source: Rfam by way of RNAcentral